Molecule: long non-coding RNA, 732 nt
Organism: Magnolia sinica
Lineage: Eukaryota; Viridiplantae; Streptophyta; Magnoliopsida; Magnoliales; Magnoliaceae
Exons: 4
Source: RefSeq, a predicted model, not a curated record
CUCUUCCUUUUUAUUUUAUUUUUUUGUAAAUGCAUGGUUUGCUUCUCUAUAUUUAGAGUGUUAUUUUAUAGUUAACGACACUACCAACUUGUUUCCCUGGCAUUGAUGCUGUUAAUCUUUCAAUAGCAAGGAAAAUGUUGAUCCAGAAUAUAUUUCCACUUCACUUUCUUGGCUCGCUUUUUUGAAAUUUGAUCCAACUUUAUCCAGGUCGUCAACGUUCCAGAGAAGGGAGGUCGUAAGCAUCCUUGAAGUGACAAUAUUCAGACCACUUAGGUAUUGUUGACAAUGAUGUCAUCGAGCUAAAUUAUCUACAACAACAGUUGCUCGAAUCAUUUGCUUCCUCUUCUGUAUAGAGAGAUGAACGUUAUAAGUAGCCAAUUCUACUUCUUUUGAUUUUAUUUUUUUUAAAAAGGAUUUUGGAUGUCAUAGUUAUGUUAAUAAGUAGCUUUUCAUCAAUGUUUCACAGGGAGCUGUGCUGGUUAAAAGUUUGGCUGCCAAGGAACCAUCUGCAUGCUGGAAUUUCUCACUAUCUUUUUAGCAAAUUCUAUCCUCUCCUUCUUCCCAUUCUCCGCUUCCUCUUCUGUAUAGAGAGUGAUGGCUUGGAGGUGCCUUCUCACGCAGGUUGCAAGACAACAGCGAUGGGACAUGCCACAUUUGAGGGGACUGAUUGUUAGACCUCAUCCCACCUUGAGCAAGUUCCAAGGCAGGAAUGGUAUGUUGGUACUGUCGGCA